This 495-nucleotide ribosomal RNA is filed under the name uncultured bacterium. Its description in RNAcentral is "partial 16S ribosomal RNA". It matches the Rfam family "Bacterial small subunit ribosomal RNA", at positions 28 to 507 of the family's 1533-position model. The record is from RNAcentral.
GACGAACGCUGGCGGCGUGCCUAAUACAUGCAAGUCGAACGCUGAAGGAGGAGCUUGCUUCUCUGGAUGAGUUGCGAACGGGUGAGUAACGCGUAGGUAACCUGCCUGGUAUCGUGGGAUAACUUUUGGAAACGAUAGCUAAUACCGCAUAAUAUUAGAUGUUGCAUUACAUUUGCUUAAACUUUGCACUUUCAUCACUACCAUAUGCACCUGCGUUGUUUUAUCUAGUUGGUGGGGUAACGGCUCACCAAGGCGACGAUACAUCUCCGACCUGAGAGGGGGAUCGGGCACACUGGGAAUGGGACAAGGCCCAGACUCCUACGGGAGGGAGCAGUAGGGAAACUUCGGCAAAGGACGGAAGGCUGAACGAGGAAAGCCGGGGGAGGGAAGAAGGGUUUCGGAUCGGAAAGCUCUGUUGUAAGAGAAGAAAGAGUGGGAGAGUGGAAAGUUCACGCUGUGACGGUAUCUAAACAGAAAGGGACGGCUAACUACGUG